RNAcentral lists this long non-coding RNA (1725 nucleotides) under Onthophagus taurus. RNAcentral describes it as "uncharacterized LOC111426493". The record is from RNAcentral. Lineage: Eukaryota; Metazoa; Arthropoda; Insecta; Coleoptera; Scarabaeidae.
GAACCAAAAACCCAUUCAAAUUACAUUUUUCAACGCCAAAACUAUUUAUAUAAAGUGAUUUUAGGUUCCAUGAAGAAAUAUUCACCCCCAAAUUAAUCAACACAACCUAACUUUUAACCUGUCGAUUUAAAUUUUAUGGAUAUUUUUAAAAAUCGUUUUAUUACAACAAAGACACAGUAAGUCGAUUGAUUUUUUUUAAUUUUAAAUCAUUACUAAUUCUAUAAUUAAUAAAACUUAUAAAUUAAUUAAGUUUUUCUUUUUAAAACUGUUGCAUACUCCAUCUAGCGGUAAUAACCCCUAUUAAAACGUAUUGACAACCUCAACUGUUUAUGAAAUUAUCAACUUUAACGAAAAAGGAAAUCAAAUUGAACCAAAAACCCAUUCAAAUUACAUUUUUCAACGCCCCAACUAUUUAUAUAAAGUGAUUUUAGGUUCUAUGAAGAGAUAUUCGCCCCCCAAGUUAAUUGAAUUCACCAGGAACAUAACCUAACUUUUUAACCUGUCAAUUUAAAUGUUACGGAUAUUUUUAAAAAUCGUUUUUUAAAGCAGAAUUUACUCGCUUUACACCUUUUGGGGAGAUAAGAAAUAAUUUGUAACGCAUUCAAGGAGACUAAUGGAGUUAUUUACAUGUUUUAAGACGUUAAACUCGCCUCAAAUUUAUCAACUCGCCCGUCCAAGAAAUUUAAACGGGACCUAAAUACCAGAAAUUCCACUCGUAUUUUACAAAUUUAAUAAAAGUUAAAAAUUAAAUAUUGUUUUUUACUAUGUACACGCAAAAGAGUCAAGGUUAAACCAGUUGCACGGACAGUUGGGUUUUGAAUUUUAUUAGGAGGCUUCCACCUGGAUGACUCACACCUCGUUUCUUUUACCAAAGGAAAAAAGAAAAACAUAAAAUCACGUUGUGAAAGCAAUGAUAAUAAUAUGUAACAAUUUGAUGACGUUUUGGUGGGAAAACCCAAACGAUUUAAAACACUUUUCCUUGAUUGUUUUGCAGCAUAAUAGAUAAUAAAAAGGUAAACUUAAAAUAUGGGAUUAUAAAAAACCAUGGUACGAUAUUGAUUGGGGUUUUGAAAGAAUUAUGUUUCUAGCGUCGAUAAACACAUUGCUCUCGCGACUAUAUUUAAAGCGGGAGACUUUGAACUUAACAUUUAACCGUUUUUUUUUUUUUUUUAUUUUUUCGCGUUAUCGCAAACUGUGAGCGUAGAUUUUUGCGAGUUACAUACAUCACAGGGACAUCGUGAAUUAAAAAAAAAUACUCGAAUUGCGAUAAAAUAAGAUAUAAAUAUCUCGUUUUGUUUGUUCGUAGAUAAGAAAAUGAUUUCCCGGAAAUAUUUUUUUGCAAUUAACAUGUUUUUAGUUAAUAAGUUAACAUAACCUUUGACGCAGGUCAAUUAAAUGACAGAAAGUAAGGUUAGGUAACAUUGAAAUAAUUAAAUCCCUAUUUUUUAAUUAAAUUUGAUUCAUUUUUGAUUAAAUGAAAUGAUUUGUAGCGUAAAUAUAAAAGAACUUGAGUAUUGUGUACUCCUGGAUGUAACAUUCCUAAUUCGCAAUCUGUUUGCAUCCAAAUAUAACGUAGCUUAGUUAUUUUCGGUAUGCUCUAAGUAGAACUUUCCAAUUUCGUAUUAUACGUUUCUCUGUGAAUAUUUCUCAAAUGGAUUCCUUGAAAUUGGUUAUUUAUAAAUGCUUUUUAAACAAAUAAAAUGUCAACCUCAUUAUACAACCUUA